GAACGCGAAGAACCUUACCCGGGCUUGAAUUGCAGAGGAAGGAUUUAGAGAUAAUGACGCCCUUCGGGGUCUCUGUGAAGGUGCUGCAUGGUUGUCGUCAGCUCGUGCCGUGAGGUGUCGGCUUAAGUGCCAUAACGAGCGCAACCCCUCUCUUCAGUUGCCAUCAGGUUAAGCUGGGCACUCUGGAGACACUGCCACCGUAAGGUGUGAGGAAGGUGGGGAUGACGUCAAAUCAGCACGGCCCUUACGUCCGGGGCUACACACGUGUUACAAUGGCCGGUACAGAGGGACGGUGUAAUGUAAAUUGCAUCCAAUCUUGAAAGCCGGUCCCAGUUCGGACUGGGGUCUGCAACCCGACCCCACGAAGCUGGAUUCGCUAGUAAUCGCGCAUCAGCCAUGGCGCGGUGAAUACGUUCCCGGGUCUUGUACACACC
RNAcentral lists this ribosomal RNA (434 nucleotides) under uncultured bacterium. RNAcentral's name for it is "bacterial SSU rRNA". It matches the Rfam family "Bacterial small subunit ribosomal RNA", at positions 957 to 1391 of the family's 1533-position model. The record is from RNAcentral.